RNAcentral lists this ribosomal RNA (541 nucleotides) under [Candida] sp. LCF-118. RNAcentral's name for it is "eukaryotic LSU rRNA". The stretch from base 168 to 321 matches the Rfam family "5.8S ribosomal RNA". The record is from RNAcentral. Lineage: Eukaryota; Fungi; Ascomycota; Saccharomycetes; Saccharomycetales.
UUUCACUAGCGCGGCGACCAAACCUUACACACAGUGCUUAGUUUUUUCUAACAUUGCUUUGGGUUGAGGCCUUGUGUCUCGGCCCAGAGGAUCAAAAACACAAGAUUUUAAUAUCUUUUUCUUUAAAAACCUUUAGUCAAGAAGUUUUCUUAAAAACAAAUCUUCAAAACUUUCAACAACGGAUCUCUUGGUUCUCGCAACGAUGAAGAACGCAGCGAAAUGCGAUACGUAAUGUGAAUUGCAGGUUUUCGUGAAUCAUCGAAUCUUUGAACGCAUAUUGCGCCCUCUGGUAUUCCGGAGGGCAUGCCUGUUUGAGCGUCAUUUCUCUCUCAAACCCUCGGGUUUGGUAUUGAGUGAUACUCUGUUAAACUGGGUUAACUUGAAAUAAUGUUGGCAAGAGCUGCUUCAGCAGAUCUUCCUACUGAACUAACGUUUCUAGGUUCUACCAAUUCGUUGUGUUCUAUAGGACAUGUUCUCUCUAGCUCUGGGCUCGGCCUAACAAUUUCACACAAGUUUGACCUCAAAUCAGGUAGGACUACCC